AUGCUGACUGCAUGGUGCUUAUGGUGUCAUCGUAAUGCUUGCAUCUUUCAUGGCAUGCGGCCUUUCACAUUACGCGUCCUGCAUGAAAUCCAAGACCAAGCACGGCAAUGGGCGAGGGCAGAUGCUAAAGGAUUGACUAUCAUCCUUCACGAGACGUAA
This 159-nucleotide ribosomal RNA is filed under the name Triticum aestivum (bread wheat). RNAcentral's name for it is "partial small subunit ribosomal RNA". Lineage: Eukaryota; Viridiplantae; Streptophyta; Magnoliopsida; Poales; Poaceae. The record is from RNAcentral.